UGGGGAAUAUUGCACAAUGGGGGAAACCCUGAUGCAGCAACGCCGCGUGAGUGAUGACGGUCUUCGGAUUGUAAAGCUCUGUCUUUGGGGACGAUAAUGACGGUACCCAAGGAGGAAGCCACGGCUAACUACGUGCCAGCAGCCGCGGUAAUACGUAGGUGGCGAGCGUUAUCCGGAAUUAUUGGGCGUAAAGGGAGCGUAGGCGGAUAAUUAAGUGGGAUGUGAAAUACCAAAGCUCAACUUUGGGGCUGCAUUCCAAACUGAUUAUCUAGAGUGCAGGAGAGGAGAGUGGAAUUCCUAGUGUAGCGGUGAAAUGCGUAGAGAUUAGGAAGAACACCAGUGGCGAAGGCGACUCUCUGGACUGUAACUGACGCUGAGGCUCGAAAGCGUGGGGAGCAAA
RNAcentral lists this ribosomal RNA (400 nucleotides) under uncultured bacterium. RNAcentral's name for it is "bacterial SSU rRNA". It matches the Rfam family "Bacterial small subunit ribosomal RNA", at positions 355 to 772 of the family's 1533-position model. The record is from RNAcentral.